AAUCUGUCACUUGGGGAUGGGCCUGCGGCGCAUUAGCUAGUUGGUGAGGUAACGGCUCACCAAGGCGACGAUGCGUAGCCGACCUGAGAGGGUGAUCGGCCACACUGGGACUGAGACACGGCCCAGACUCCUACGGGAGGCAGCAGUAGGGAAUCUUCCGCAAUGGGCGAAAGCCUGACGGAGCAAUGCCGCGUGAGUGAUGAAGGUUUUCGGAUCGUAAAGCUCUGUUGCCAGGGAAGAACGCUUGGGAGAGUAACUGCUCUCAAGGUGACGGUACCUGAGAAGAAAGCCCCGGCUAACUACGUGCCAGCAGCCGCGGUAAUACGUAGGGGGCAAGCGUUGUCCGGAAUUAUUGGGCGUAAAGCGCGCGCAGGCGGUCAUUUAAGUCUGGUGUUUAAUCCCGGGGCUCAACCCCGGAUCGCACUGGAAACUGGGUGACUUGAGUGCAGAAGAGGAGAGUGGAAUUCCACGUGUAGCGGUGAAAUGCGUAGAUAUGUGGAGGAACACCAGUGGCGAAGGCGACUCUCUGGGCUGUAACUGACGCUGAGGCGCGAAAGCGUGGGGAGCAAACAGGAUUAGAUA
Molecule: ribosomal RNA, 582 nt
Filed under: Acinetobacter sp. VT 511
Lineage: Bacteria; Pseudomonadati; Pseudomonadota; Gammaproteobacteria; Moraxellales; Moraxellaceae
Description: bacterial SSU rRNA
Rfam family: Bacterial small subunit ribosomal RNA
Source: RNAcentral